UGGGGAAUAUUGGACAAUGGGCGAAAGCCUGAUCCAGCCAUGCCGCGUGUGUGAAGAAGGCCUUUUGGUUGUAAAGCACUUUAAGCGAGGAGGAGGGCACUUGGGCUAAUAUCCCAAAGUGUCGGACGUUACUCGCAGAAUAAGCACCGGCUAACUCUGUGCCAGCAGCCGCGGUAAUACAGAGGGUGCGAGCGUUAAUCGGAAUUACUGGGCGUAAAGCGCGCGUAGGCGGUUAUGUAAGUUGGAUGUGAAAUCCCCGGGCUUAACCUGGGCACUGCAUUCAAAACUGCAUAGCUAGAGUAUGGGAGAGGAAGGUAGAAUUCCAGGUGUAGCGGUGAAAUGCGUAGAGAUCUGGAGGAAUACCGAUGGCGAAGGCAGCCUUCUGGCCUAAUACUGACGC
This 400-nucleotide ribosomal RNA is filed under the name uncultured bacterium. Its description in RNAcentral is "bacterial SSU rRNA". It matches the Rfam family "Bacterial small subunit ribosomal RNA", at positions 355 to 746 of the family's 1533-position model. The record is from RNAcentral.